GUUCUUAUCCCAUUUGAGACCAAAGUUCAACAAGUCUUUCUUGUCACUUCUAAACAUUCUUCAUGCAUCUCUAGCAGUUGUAAUCAAUCAAAUUCAUUGUAUUAUAACAUAUUCUAACCUAAAAUAACUUUAUACAAGCCAUUCACUGCCUCAAAGCAAUGGUUUUGGGUUCUUAUCCCAUUUGAGACCAAAUUUCAACUAGUCUUUCUUCUCACUUCUAAACAUUCUUCAUGCAUGUCUAGCACUUGUAAUCAAUCAAAUUCAUUGUAUUUUAACAUAUUCUAACCUAAAAUAACUUUAUACAAGCCAUUCACUGCCUCAAAGCAAUGUUUUUGGGUUCUUAUCCCAUUUGAGACCAAAUAUCAACAAGUCUUUCUUCUCACUUCUAAACAUUCUUCAUGCAUGUCUAGCACUUGUAAUCAAACAAAUUCAUUGUAUUAUAACAUAUUCUAACCUAA
This 458-nucleotide long non-coding RNA is filed under the name Capsella rubella. RNAcentral describes it as "long non-coding RNA (CRUB_LNC000370)". Lineage: Eukaryota; Viridiplantae; Streptophyta; Magnoliopsida; Brassicales; Brassicaceae. The record is from RNAcentral.